CUCCUGGAAACGGGUGGUAAUGCCGGAUGUUCCACAUGAGCGCAUGCGAGUGUGGGAAAGGCUUUUUGCGGCAUGGGAUGGGGUCGCGUCCUAUCAGCUUGUUGGUGGGGUAACGGCCUACCAAGGCGUUGACGGGUAGCCGGCCUGAGAGGGCGACCGGCCACAUUGGGACUGAGAUACGGCCCAGACUCCUACGGGAGGCAGCAGUGGGGAAUAUUGCACAAUGGGCGCAAGCCUGAUGCAGCGACGCCGCGUGCGGGAUGGAGGCCUUCGGGUUGUAAACCGCUUUUGUUCAAGGGCAAGGCACGGUUUCGGCCGUGUUGAGUGGAUUGUUCGAAUAAGCACCGGCUAACUACGUGCCAGCAGCCGCGGUAAUACGUAGGGUGCAAGCGUUAUCCGGAUUUAUUGGGCGUAAAGGGCUCGUAGGCGGUUCGUCGCGUCCGGUGUGAAAGUCCAUCGCUUAACGGUGGAUCCGCGCCGGGUACGGGCGGGCUUGAGUGCGGUAGGGGAGACUGGAAUUCCCGGUGUAACGGUGGAGUGUGUAGAUAUCGGGAAGAACACC
RNAcentral lists this ribosomal RNA (562 nucleotides) under uncultured Bifidobacterium sp. RNAcentral describes it as "bacterial SSU rRNA". It matches the Rfam family "Bacterial small subunit ribosomal RNA", at positions 147 to 710 of the family's 1533-position model. The record is from RNAcentral. Lineage: Bacteria; Bacillati; Actinomycetota; Actinomycetes; Bifidobacteriales; Bifidobacteriaceae.